GCCUAACUGGCUUAGUCAGUGGAGCAAUGUGACUCUUGAUCUUGGGGUCAUGGGUUCAAGUCCCACGUUGGGUG
Molecule: transfer RNA, 74 nt
Filed under: Ailuropoda melanoleuca (giant panda)
Lineage: Eukaryota; Metazoa; Chordata; Mammalia; Carnivora; Ursidae
Rfam family: tRNA
About the family: Transfer RNA (tRNA) molecules are approximately 80 nucleotides in length. Their secondary structure includes four short double-helical elements and three loops (D, anti-codon, and T loops).
Source: Rfam by way of RNAcentral